RNAcentral lists this ribosomal RNA (251 nucleotides) under uncultured prokaryote. RNAcentral describes it as "partial 16S rRNA". It matches the Rfam family "Bacterial small subunit ribosomal RNA", at positions 525 to 775 of the family's 1533-position model. The record is from RNAcentral.
ACGGAGGGAGCAAGCGUUGUCCGGAAUAACUGGGCGUAAAGGGCUCGUAGGCGGGGUUUUAAGUCCGGGAGUAAAUUCAUUGGCUUAACUGAUGAGUCAUCCUGGAUACUGGAACUCUUGAGGACGGAAGAGGAAAGGGGAAUUCCUGGUGUAGCGGUGAAAUGCGUAGAUAUCAGGAGGAACACCUGUGGCGAAGGCGCCUUUCUGGUCCGGUUCUGACGCUGAGGAGCGAAAGCCAGGGGAGCGAACGG